This 282-nucleotide long non-coding RNA is filed under the name Lathyrus oleraceus (garden pea). RNAcentral's name for it is "Pisum sativum (pea) long non-coding RNA (PSAT_LNC019800)". The record is from RNAcentral. Lineage: Eukaryota; Viridiplantae; Streptophyta; Magnoliopsida; Fabales; Fabaceae.
AGCGGGUUCCGUUUAUUUCGGAUUCCCCGGGUUGAAUUUGGGGUUGCUUGUCCAGAUGGUCAGUGAUUUACCUGUGAUGAUGGUGAUAUAUCCUCCGGUUCCGUUUAUUUCGGAACCCCGAGUUGGAUUUGUGGUUAAUCAGUCCCUCAGAUGGUUGUGAUCAGUUCGGAGACCGGAAUUCAGUAUAGUUAAUGUUCAGAUGACUUGGAGGAUGGCACAGUGACUUGCAUUCAUGCAUCUGCAUCACUCCCAUUUGGCAUUCAUCCGCAUCUAACUCAUGUC